This 254-nucleotide ribosomal RNA is filed under the name uncultured bacterium. RNAcentral's name for it is "partial 16S ribosomal RNA". It matches the Rfam family "Bacterial small subunit ribosomal RNA", at positions 524 to 776 of the family's 1533-position model. The record is from RNAcentral.
UACGGGGGGAGCAAGCGUUGUUCGGAUUUACUGGGCGUAAAGAGCUCGUAGGCGGUCUGUCGCGUCGAUCGUGAAAACUUGGGGCUUAACCCUGAGCUUGCGGUCGAUACGGGCAUGACUGGAGUUCGGCAGGGGAGACUGGAAUUCCUGGUGUAGCGGUGAAAUGCGCAGAUAUCAGGAGGAACACCGGUGGCGAAGGCGGGUCUCUGGGCCGGUACUGACGCUGAGGAGCGAAAGCGUGGGGAGCAAACAGG